This 468-nucleotide ribosomal RNA is filed under the name uncultured bacterium. RNAcentral's name for it is "partial 16S ribosomal RNA". It matches the Rfam family "Bacterial small subunit ribosomal RNA", at positions 28 to 507 of the family's 1533-position model. The record is from RNAcentral.
GACGAACGCUGGCGGCGUGCUUAACACGUGCAAGUCGAACGGAAAGGCCCUGCUUUUGUGGGGUGCUCGAGUGGCGAACGGGUGAGUAACACGUGAGUAACCUGCCCUUGACUUUGGGAUAACUUCAGGAAACUGGGGCUAAUACCGGAUAGGAGCUCCUGCUGCAUGGUGGGGGUUGGAAAGUUUCGGCGGUUGGGGAUGGACUCGCGGCUUAUCAGCUUGUUGGUUGGGUAGUGGCUUACCAAGGCUUUGACGGGUAGCCGGCCUGAGAGGGUGACCGGCCACAUUGGGACUGAGAUACGGCCCAGACUCCUACGGGAGGCAGCAGUGGGGAAUAUUGCACAAUGGGCGGAAGCCUGAUGCAGCAACGCCGCGUGCGGGAUGACGGCCUUCGGGUUGUAAACCGCUUUCGCCUGUGACGAAGCGUGAGUGACGGUAAUGGGUAAAGAAGCACCGGCUAACUACGUG